AUUGGUGUGGUUAGGUACGAGUUGUGUAGGAGUCGGACACUUGUAUCCUAGGCCUCUUAUAUACGGAGGGGCACCACACAUUGUAACCCAUCAUGAUGACUUGAUAGCAACAGGUACGCGGGAGAGCCGACGGCUUGUGCCCGCGCCCGGACGACCGGCGUUGCGGUAUCUUGGGGAGGAGCGCCCGUAGUCAUGCCCCGGAGAUGUAGCCAUAUCGGUGAACCUCGUUAACAAAUAUCAUGCCUCGGUGUGUCGUCUAUGAUCUUGCAUUAGCAUUUUAUUCUAACAGGGCCAGUCGGCCAGUCGUGAAUCAUCAGACCCUAUAGGUGUCGGACAUUGAAGUGUAAAUAACAUGGAUAAAUUACAGCCAAGCGGACUUAGAGACACGGCUCACCCUUUUAUGAAGUAGAGGCAUCACUUUUGUUUGCUAUAGUUACUCUUUCGCUCUAGCCCUCUCCUGGAACCAAACAAUGACUGCCCCCAGAAGAAAAUCUCAGCGGUUAGGUUCAAUAGCCGACGGUUGCGACUCGUGGAGUUCCACUUGUAGGGGGGAGCGCAUUGAUCUGGAUGAUACUCGCCGUCGCGCAGGUGCCGUAGCGCGCACCAAGGAAAUUCCAAAGAAUAGCUCUAGCCGCAAGGAUUUAUCUCGAACGAAGAUUGGCGCCCCAACAUAAUCUGCAGGACAAGGCAAUUGCUCUAAAAUUGCAGGUAAAAGUUAAACCCACGAUAAAUAAUACUCGAGACAAGGGUCUCAUCGACACCGAUGACAGUAGUAGUAGGCAUCCAUCUCAUCGUCAUACAUCAAGAAAUCUACACCAGAACAGUGAUCAGGUAUAUAUUUUUUGUUUGACAAGUGUGUUCUGUCUGACGAGACUUACACUCGGUAUUUUUUUUUGCUUUUUGCACUUUCUCAUACGAAAAUUCUCAUUAAGGGGUGCUAUGGUUCUCAGCCUUCGAUCUAUACAUUGUUCAGCGGCCCUAUUGAUGAGGUGCCGAAGGAGACAGACGGGGAGAUGAUACUUUGGUGAGAGUAAUUGAAUGUCUUCAUGGACUAUGAGUGGAAACCACGUGGUCUUGAUGAUGAGACAUCUUUGAAAGACUCAGGAGUGGAUGAAAUCUUGACCGAGGUUGCCAAGUGUUUAGGCCUUGGUGGAGGUCAGACACUUAUUACUGAAUCAGAUUAUCGUUUUAUGCACAGAGUAAAUGACGUGUAUUAUGACUGCAAGACGCUCACCCCAAAGCCACCUCAUAUGCUGACGCAAUCAAUUUCUUAGUUUUCCCUUGGCGCACAAGAAGGUCAUCAGGCACCACCUACCAAGGUGCCAUCGGGCCCGGCCAUUAUUUUGAGGGCUAACCAGUUUGGCAUUAAAUAAAUUGCAGCUCGUACUUUUACGAUGGCUCAAAAGUUUAUUCAAUCACCCUCGAUGAGGUGGAUUGAUAGUUAUCUGCACUGCUUUCAUACAGAUGUUUCUCUGUGCUGUCAACUGCUAAUAUGGGCACACAUGAUGUUGCUUAAUCCGGAAGAUAGUGAUAUUUUAAAAAAUGAUAUCAUUCGGGGAGUCAUGGCCUCGACUUAUCACUGCCAUGUCGAUUCCUCCCUAGUCGCUGCCUUCCUAACAUAUUGGAACAUCAAUGGGCACACUCUGGUUACUAGCCAAGAAGAAAUGGGCUAUCCACUCCAUAAAGUGUAUGAUGCCAUGGGCAUACCAUUCGCCUGGCACUGUGCAAGCACAUGUGCAGAACUUAUACCAUAUAUAUGUUGGUUUAUGCCCACUAAAUCCUACGCGUAAGCCUGGUUUGGUGACUAUUGAAGCAUGGGUCAAUCACUUUUUUGAGGAUAAGUUCCACUCAUUUGGGUCCUUGCUGGCAUUGUUAUGCCGAUCCGGAUGAUCCAUUGCUGCAAAAAAUGGGUCUCCGGGUCGAAGUUCAAAAUAACCGCAUGUCUGCCUCUCUAGGCGACCAAGCGAUGUAUUACCGUCUAGCAGAUCCGUCAGUGGUAUUUUGUGCUGUUUUUAUUGAUGCAUGGUUAUGUACUUAUUGUAUCCCGGUCGAGGAGGGCCAAUAUAUCUGCCCGAGGUUUUUAUCAUGCAGUGAAACUUGCAAAAGGCAAUCGUCGAGCUAUUGGGGUGGCAAGCUUGGCCUUUUUGUAGUACAGUCUAGACGAGUUUCAUCAUAAGGUUGUGAAUGUGUCAAUUUCUGCAAGUAAAUGCUCCCUAUUUAUUCCCGGGCAUUUUAUAAUGGGAUGGUAUGUAUCAUUCAUGAAAGACUUCCCACCAUCAGCAUCUCUAAGGUGUCGGAUUCCAUCGGCACCUUAUGUUAUUGAUUUAGAGCACCGAGAACCAAUGUCCCAUGUGGCAGCACACAAUCUUUUGGGGGAGUUUGACAUAACUGGAAUGAGCCUAUGCUCCUUGGAUUUCUUGGGCAGGUCCGUGAUACGCUUUCCAAGAUCUAGGGGAGCGAUUCGUCUAUGGGAUGACUACUCUCAAUAUCGUAUACCAAAAGCACUUUCCGUUGUAGCUAUUGACCUACUUAUGAACUAAUGGGCUGGUGGUGUAUUGCACCGAUGCGGCGAGCGCUAUGACAAUCAAGUGUAUUGUCCGCACCGAUUCUCCCGGAUGUUCAAUUGUGAUCAGCAUGUUCCAGAGUUGGACAUGAUUGCAGAAGAUGAGAAGACGAAUAGACUUGAUUUUCCCAGUUUUCUAACCAAUUCCUAUGAAGAGUUGUUCGAGCUCUUGGAUCGACGGCAUCUUUGUUUUCACCGACUGGAGGGUCAUACCUUCUAUGUGCAGCCCCUGAGAAGUAGAACUGGGUGUACAAUGGAUUAUAUUAACUGGCACAGCAAAGCUUUUGGCUUUCUUCAAUCACCGGAAUUAUUUUGUGCGCGUGCACAAGGGGCAAGUGUCUUCAAGUGGCAACAGCCUAUGACUAGCCCUCCUGGAGGUAAGAUACUCAUAGAUAAUAAGGGGCUGUAUUUCAAGAUGAUGCAUGUAUUAUGCAUGCUUUGUGUAUUUUCUAUUCACACAUUUUUUGUGUGUAUGUGUAGGUGACACGGGAAAAGUUGACGUUGCCAACCGAACCAGAAAUCCACCAUCAUCAGAAAAAUUGUCCGAGAGGCAACAAGACAUAGUUGUCACCUCGCCUGCGGCAACCAAGUCAAACUCUGCGAAUCCUCAAGAGAGAAUGCUAGUGACUCCAGAGAAUAAGCAGGUAAGUUCUGGAAAAUCCUUUUCCCUGGUAAAGGAGGUCCUUGGGCAAGGGAGUGAGGAAGAGGCUCCAGUGACCUUACAAUAUCCACAUGGACUGAUUGUACCAUCGCGUCGCAGUACUGUGGAGAAAAUUACUCACGAUGCAACACCCGACCGAUUAAACAUUAGAUUGUAUACACCUGAUGAUGAUAUAGCAACCCUUCAAUUAGAGAUUAUCGAUGACACCUAUGUGAAUCUGGACAAUCUUUUUUAGUCGUUAGGGGGUUCCGACUUCAAGAACCAAAAUAAUAUGUCGAGUUCAAAAUCCCAAGGAGAUGCUUCCUCGAUAUCGCAGACGGACCAACCCAUCGCGAGUAAGCUGGCACCUGGUUCGUUUAGACGAAAGUUGGCUGAACCCGAAGAAGGUGCAAAAAAGAAAAGGAAGAGCACACAGAUAGGUGGUCUCCUGUUCUUAUGAAAUGUCUUUUUAAUUCAUAUGCCCCUUUGUAUGUACUCAUAUUGCUUCCUCACUCUUACUAUUUUUUUGUAGUCGAAUCCUUUGAUGAGGAGUCAAAGCAAAUCUUGAAAUCAGUUGCUAAAGAAUGCAAGGGAUAUUAUGAAAGUGUUGAGGGACAGUUAGAUCAAAACCAGAAUGGAUCAGGUGAGGCCCAGGAUUUUAAAAUGCAUUGUCGUGUACUGAGUUUAGUGGCAACAUUCCUGUGGAUUUAAGAGGGAUAAAGGGAACCUAUUUAGCACGCUAUGUGAACUAUGUGCAAUCAGAUCUUAGGAACCUUAAUGCCUACUUAGUGAAUACCCCGUGAACAAGGCAUCAGUGGUUUCAGAGAUAAUUGCAGAUUUAGAUUUGUGGGGGAAAUUCUUCAAGGAUCCGCCAUCUGAAGUAGCGCGACUUAUGAAGGGGCUCGCUUCUUUGCGAGAGGCCUACAACAAGGAAACAUUUGACCUCACAAUGGGAUUGCUUUACAGAGAGAGCAAAUUCAAUAACGGUCAUCCGUUGUCAAAACCUUUGUUGACAAGGUGUCACUUUCUUGUAAUUCUAUGGAUGUUAUUAUGACAUCUCUUCAGGGGGAGCUUGAGGAGUAAGAGAGCAAACAACUGGACUAUUUAUCUCACGCCAUAGUAAUAAUGACUCAUAUUGUAGAGUUACAAUUGGAGCUUCAGGGAAUAGAAGAUAAUAGUUCAUGUGAGGGGCUGCUCAAGGAUCAGACAAUCUAGUGCUUGUCUAGCCAUAGAGGGCAUGUCAACAAGGUGGCAAUUUUCAAGAGCACACUAGAAAACUACCUUUCCAAGGACCAUGACAGUGCGCAUGAGCUUCACAAAAUCAGCGAGGAGUUCAAGCUGGACGAGAUGGGCUUUUCAAAACACAUGUAUUCUUUACAUGAAUUGGUCAUAGCAUGCGCUUCAGAGACUUAGUUGUUUCUGGUACACUUUGUCUGCUUCACGAGUAACUCACAUUUUAGAAAAUUCAACUUUUUUAAGAUCAAGCGUCUUAGGGAAUUGUCUCCUAAUUUGUUUAUACGCUUUUUUUAGGAAAGAUUGUACUUUGAAUUAUUGCCAUGAGCUGAGACAUUCUUCGUCAGUACUCAAUCAUUACCCUUCCCCUUUUUCUGCAAGCACGGUGGCUCAAGCUGAAUAUUAUUCUAAUGACACUCUACUUUUUUUGGCUGGACACGCGCAUCGUCAGCUGUCUGCCCCAAACUGCUACCUGUGCAGGGUAGCCCUCUGUGUAGAGGGUUAAUUUGUUAUAUCCUUCACAAAGGGGAAUCAAUGAGUACAACCAGGGGAUCAUUAAACAGCCAUCAAAAGGCUGUCUGCGUUCCUUGCUUUAAGGAAACUGGGAACCCAAAUGGAAAAUUCAAGCUGGACGUCCUAGCUUUGUGGGUACAUGGAAAUAGAAGGGCGACAGAAACUUUGUAAACAGAGAAGUUAUGCAUCUCAACUUUUAACGAGCAAGGCAUAUCAACUUAUAACAAAAUAGGGCUUGGACAAAUUCUUUAGAAAAGGCACCAGAACUAGACAAAUGCGAGGGUUUACCUUGUUCUCUGGGCUCGGCGCCGGUGUAUCGCGGCGGCGGUCGCUACCUCUGCCGACCUGCAUAGCCCUCCCAUAUCAAUUCGCUCGAGCAGCUGUCUUAGCCGAACGAGCUUGGGUCUGGCUCUCGAGGCUGGUGGUGGAGGCGGCCUGGAGAAAGAUGGGGUUGUAUGCUUAGCAGGGAUGGAGAAUGAGGCAGAGGGUCUGGCCGGGGCUGGAGCUUGACGAUGGCAAUAGUGGAUUACGACGGCGGGAGUGUGUGAGCUGUGGAUGGGGAAUACUCUUUUUUAAGAGGUCAUGGGUGGAAGACUUGAUCCAGCACCUUCUUCCUUUAAUCAAAACCUUUUUGUUUUAAUAAAGGCACGCUGUUGUGCACACACGCUUGCUCUAUUUUUGUAAGCAUGCACCAACGUGUAUGUAUUUUUA
RNAcentral lists this long non-coding RNA (5660 nucleotides) under Triticum aestivum (bread wheat). RNAcentral describes it as "long non-coding RNA (TAES_LNC017988)". Lineage: Eukaryota; Viridiplantae; Streptophyta; Magnoliopsida; Poales; Poaceae. The record is from RNAcentral.